Long non-coding RNA from Onychostoma macrolepis, 254 nucleotides. RefSeq lists it as uncharacterized. Lineage: Eukaryota; Metazoa; Chordata; Actinopteri; Cypriniformes; Cyprinidae. The transcript has 3 exons. The record is from RefSeq and is a predicted model, not a curated record.
AAACAGGAGAAAGGACACAGCACAAUGAUCAGGAUCAGGACAAUGAUGAAGAAGCAUCACUCCUUAUUCUGGCUGAGAAUCCGCAGAUGGUUGUUGCUGAUCAUACUGACGACAAACCGAAGGGUGAUGCUGGAAAGAAACUCGCUGAUCAUACUAACAAAAAAGCGAAGGGUGCUGCUGGAGAGAAACUCGCUGAUCAUACUGACAAAAAAGCGAAUAGUGAUGCUGGAGAUAAACUCGCUGAUCAUACUGAC